RNAcentral lists this ribosomal RNA (250 nucleotides) under uncultured bacterium. RNAcentral describes it as "partial 16S ribosomal RNA". It matches the Rfam family "Bacterial small subunit ribosomal RNA", at positions 524 to 772 of the family's 1533-position model. The record is from RNAcentral.
UACGGAGGGUGCGAGCGUUGUUCGGAAUUAUUGGGCGUAAAGCGCACGUAGGCGGCCCGUUAAGUCUCUUGGUGAAAGGCCGGGGCUCAACCCCGAGCAUGCCGGGGAUACUGGGGGGCUGGAGACAGGUAGAGGCCAGCGGAAUUCCGGGUGUAGCGGUGGAAUGCGUAGAGAUCCGGAAGAACACCGGAGGCGAAGGCGGCUGGCUGGACCUGAUCUGACGCUGAGGUGCGAAAGCGUGGGGAGCGAA